CCGCCCCAGUCCUACCCACAAAAUAAGCAUUUCUCAUGCCCACCAUACCAACGUUUAAUGCCCCAUGUGGAAGCCAUGAAUCGAAUUUAAAAUUCGCGAGAUUUGCCAGCUUAGGCUUAUCUUUACCUCAAGCCCAAGCAGGUGCCCUAAUCAUGCAUUAUUGCGAAACCAAAAGCUCACACAUUUUCAAUGCAUUUGGGAAUGGGGAAUUCAUGGCGAAUCCCGAGAAAUUCGAGCUUUGGCCUCUGAUAAAGUGAUCGUCGUUGUCCUGUGACAGAUCAUUUCUCAACCAGAGAUGUUGAAUCGCGACAGAUUGUUCUGGGUGAAGUUGAGCGGGGUGGUAAAUUUAAUUGUAACGCUCUACGGGGUUGGAAUUAUUCUGUAUUGUCUUUGGUUUCUGAAAACAUGGCAAGAGAAAACAGUUGGAUUGCCUUUCUCAGCCACACCAUUGUUUAUACAUAUAUGUCUGGCCAUAGGAAUUGCUCUCUGCUUAGGCACGACGUGUGGUUGUGUAGUCGCCAACUGGUUCAGCGAUUGGAUGCUUUCGAUAUACAUUGUGAUCAUAUGCUGUCUUGUUGCGUUGGAAAUUGCUGUGGUUGUCAUUAUAUUCAUCACGAUGGACUGGGUAGCGGUAUGCUUUCUCAAAUUUGUCAUAUUAAUCUUCCAUAGCAUCAUCAUUGGCUAGAGACUUCCAAGAAAAACCCAGCUUACAUAAAAGAUUCAUCUUCAAAAUAUAGCUAGUUGAGUUUUUUGUAUUGGGGGGUCAUUGCUUGUUGAUGAUUUCUUUUUCUUUUUUCUUUUUUGAUACAGAUACUUGUUGAUAAUUUCUAUCAGAGAGACUUGAUUGAAUUUCAUUUUCUUCUAUAGAACUUUUUAUUGUUGAUAAUAAUAACAACUGAGCAAGGAAGAUAACGGCAUAGCUUGGGAAGAGUCUCACAGUAUAGUGAGAAUGGAUAAUAUAAAGUAAAUGAGAUCAUUGACACGAAACAUUCAGAGUUCAGGAUUUUUAUCCUUUUCCAUGUGUGCAUGUGUCGCGUUAUUCUUCUGGUAUCAUUAGUACCUCAGAUAACUGCAAUUGCUUUGGCUAUUGGUUUGCUGGCUCUUGGUACUCAAGCCGCGAGGUCUGGCUGUGGCAACCCUUCUGUAAUACCUGAUUUUCGUCAAUCCUUUCUAGUUUUGCGCAGCUCACGUGUACAUGAGGAAUCAACGCAUCAACUUUAGCUCUCAUAUUUGAUGUCAAGUUUUGAGCAGAACACAGCUAAAAAGAGAAAAAAAGAAAAGAAAAUCAGAAUAAGUUGUGACUGCGUUCAAGAGUUGUUAAAAUACAUGGAUAGCAACCGAGCGUAAUUUUGGCCAAUCCCCUGAGCAUAAACUGAAUGCGUCAUAAUAAAUUAGUAGGACCAGAAUGCUUCUACAA
Prosopis cineraria is the source of this 1417-nucleotide RNA transcript. It is a transcript of the gene named tetraspanin-19-like, with no coding region annotated. The transcript is spliced from 5 exons. NCBI's taxonomy places the organism in Eukaryota, Viridiplantae, Streptophyta, Magnoliopsida, Fabales, Fabaceae. The record is from RefSeq and is a predicted model, not a curated record.